AAACAUAAAACAUAAACAUAUAUACGAGUCUCUAAAUUUCUUUACUUACAGUACUAAACAAAAGUACGAAACAGUAACCUCAAUCUCAGAGUCUAACUUCAAAAAUUUUCUCCAUAUCACUACUCACUCUGCAGCAUUAUCUUCAGUAUCUGAAGAGGUAUAGAAGGGAUGAGAUAAAAUAUCAUAAUAAGCGAUAUUAUAAAAAUCACAGCAUAGUACAUACAAUAUAUAAUUUUUUUUACACACAACAAAACAUAUAUCAUAUAAUCUUUCCAAAACAAACAUAUGAAUCAGAAGACAAAUGCACAAAUCAGAAAAAAGAUUCAUAAUUACUUCAUUGUAUACUUCAUCACCAUUAUAGAGGAUCAAUCAAUUACCAUAUAUUAUGUAUAAGCACACACACUUAUCUCUAGUUUCUCAAAUACCUGAACACGGACGACAUACGUAAGUACCUUGAAACACUACUAUCCUCCGAAUACAUAACGAUUAGGGCACGCAGAUCAGACUAUUUUUCCAUACACCCGAAUACGGAAUGGUUAUGUAUGGGUACACACUUAUCACUUGUCCAAUACACCCGAACAUAGAACAGUUAUGUAUGACCAUAUUGAAACCUAGCAUAAUGCAAGUGCUUUUGGAACAACUUUUUUCCAUAAUGAGUGAUGUACACAUAUCAAAAUCACAUUUCAAAAAUAAAAAACAAAAUAACACUUAUAUUGUAGUAAAACUUUAACAAAUACUUAAUUAGUAAAUGUAAAAGACAAUUCAAACACUUUCACUCUUUUAUAUUGAAACUACGUAAAAUACUUCAAAAUUACGUAGGCUAAUGAAUCCAUAAUAUCCACUUACUUUAGAUCCUCAACAAUCGUAAUCUUAAUUUCAGUAGAGUUCUAGCAAUAUUUAUGACAUUUUUCUUUCAAAAAUCUGGCAGAGUUUCGGGAUGAUUUUUGGUCACUUUCUUGACUUAAAAAUAUCCAACACAAUACCUAAAAACUAAUUCCAAAAAUUAAAGAAAAGUCGAAUUUCAAAACUUAAGAAAAGACUUACCUUUCUAACAGUUUAUAAUCUUUUUUUAAUCAUGAGCCUUCCUCCUCUUCUCUUCCUCUUCCUUUACUCUUAAGAAUUUAGUAGAAUUUUCCUAAGAUUUUUAUCUAAAACCUCAUAAUACUCUCAAAAAUCACAUACUUCAUACUCCUUUCCUCACCUCUAGCUUCUCACUACUUUCCCUCAUCCAGAAAUGUCUCUUCUUCCCUUCCCCCAUUCCCUAUUUAUAAGACUGGAGAGCCACAAGAGAAAAGUUAUCACCAUUCUGUCAUACCAUUUUAUCUAAAAGUUGCCACCUUUCAUUACGCUACUUCAUCUAAAAGGUUACCACUUUUUACAUGCUGCUUUAUUUAAAAGGUCUUUUCACAUGUCACUUCAUCUAAAAUGUUACCACUUUUCAUAUGCUACUUUAUCUAAAAAUUAUCACUUUCUGUUAUGUCACUUCAUUUAAAAGUUACCAUUUUUCACGUGUCACUUGAUCUAAAAGUUGUCACUUUCUGUUAUGUUAAUUCAUCUAAAAGUUACAACUUUUCAUUAUACCAUUCAUCUAAACGAUUCCCACCUUUUUCCAGGCCUCUUCAUGCUUAUUCCAACUAUUUCAUCCUUAUCUAUCCUUUUUUCGUUUGAUUUUAAACUAUGUUCUUAACCUUAUUAUACAUUUCUAAACACAUAUAAAGGUUAAAUUAAAUAUAAAAAAUUAAUUCAGAGGUAUUUUCGAGCUAUCACAACAUUGAUUAUGACUCAAAGCAGGUAAAUACCAGUAAGAUUGAAUACGUGCAUAUUUGGGUUACCUGUGUGGUUGGCUAGGACACUCUGAAAACUACUAUAAGCUUCUUAUCCAUCAAGGCCCCAAACCACUGCAACCGGAAUGGGAUGAUUCUAUCAAAGCAUAGUGUGUCAAAAGAACAUAUUGGUAAGCAAGUGGCUUAGAGAUGACAUAGGCAAAU
RNAcentral lists this long non-coding RNA (1988 nucleotides) under Carica papaya (papaya). RNAcentral describes it as "long non-coding RNA (CPAP_LNC005086)". Lineage: Eukaryota; Viridiplantae; Streptophyta; Magnoliopsida; Brassicales; Caricaceae. The record is from RNAcentral.